This 230-nucleotide ribosomal RNA is filed under the name uncultured bacterium. RNAcentral describes it as "partial 16S ribosomal RNA". It matches the Rfam family "Bacterial small subunit ribosomal RNA", at positions 118 to 350 of the family's 1533-position model. The record is from RNAcentral.
UGGGCAACCUGCCCUCAGCUCUGGGAUAACUCCGGGAAACCGGGGCUAAUACCGGAUACGACCUUCCCUCGCAUGGGGGUUGGUGGAAAGUUCUUCGGCUGAGGAUGGGCCCGCGGCCUAUCAGCUUGUUGGUGGGGUGAUGGCCUACCAAGGCGACGACGGGUAGCCGGCCUGAGAGGGCGACCGGCCACACUGGGACUGAGACACGGCCCAGACUCCUACGGGAGGCA